AAAAGACCUAGUAAUAGGUAUGCUUAGGGAGGAGCUUGCGUCACAUUAGUUAGUUGGUGGGGUAAAGGCCUACCAAGACUAUGAUGUGUAGCCGGGCUGAGAGGUUGAACGGCCACAUUGGGACUGAGACACGGCCCAAACUCCUACGGGAGGCAGCAGUAGGGAAUUUUCGGCAAUGGAGGAAACUCUGACCGAGCAACGCCGCGUGAACGAUGAAGUAUUUCGGUACGUAAAGUUCUUUUAUUAGGGAAGAAUAAAUGAUGGAAAAAUCAUUCUGACGGUACCUAAUGAAUAAGCCCCGGCUAACUAUGUGCCAGCAGCCGCGGUAAUACAUAGGGGGCAAGCGUUAUCCGGAAUUAUUGGGCGUAAAGGGUGCGUAGGCGGUUAAAUAAGUUUAUGGUCUAAGUGCAAUGCUCAACAUUGUGAUGCUAUAAAAACUGUUUAGCUAGAGUAAGAUAGAGGCAAGUGGAAUUCCAUGUGUAGUGGUAAAAUGCGUAAAUAUAUGGAGGAACACCAGUAGCGAAGGCGGCUUGCUGGGUCUUUACUGACGCUGAGGCACGAAAGCGUGGGGAGCAAACAGGAUUAGAUACCCUGGUAGUCCACGCCGUAAACGAUGAGUACUAAACGUUGGGUAAAACCAGUGUUGAAGUUAACACAUUAAGUACUCCGCCUGAGUAGUACGUACGCAAGUAUGAAACUUAAAGGAAUUGACGGGACUCCGCACAAGCGGUGGAUCAUGUUGUUUAAUUCGAAGGUACCCGAAAAACCUCACCAGGUCUUGACAUGCUUCUGCAAAGCUGUAGAAACACAGUGGAGGUUAUCAGUUGCACAGGUGGUGCAUGGUUGUCGUCAGCUCGUGUCGUGAGAUGUUGGGUUAAGUCCCGCAACGAGCGCAACCCUUAUUGUUAGUUACCAGCACGUAAUGGUGGGGACUUUAGCAAAGCUGCCAGUGAUAAAUUGGAGGAAGGUGGGGACGACGUCAAAUCAUCAUGCCCCUUAUGACCUGGGCUACAAACGUGAUACAAUGGCUGUUACAAAGGGUAGCUGAAGCGCAAGUUUUUGGCGAAUCUCAAAAAAACAGUCUCAGUUCGGAUUGAAGUCUGCAACUCGACUUCAUGAAGUUGGAAUCGCUAGUAAUCGCGAAUCCAGCAUGUCGCGGUGAAUACGUU
Molecule: ribosomal RNA, 1169 nt
Filed under: Candidatus Phytoplasma asteris-related phytoplasma
Lineage: Bacteria; Bacillati; Mycoplasmatota; Mollicutes; Acholeplasmatales; Acholeplasmataceae
Description: bacterial SSU rRNA
Rfam family: Bacterial small subunit ribosomal RNA
Source: RNAcentral